AGCGACGUAUAGAUUAGCAAUCUAUACAUAUAGCCGCCAUGGCUUGACAUGAUAUAGCCGAAGUACAGGAUGACCGCCUCGUAAGCAUGUCAGUAAGUCCCAAGA
RNAcentral lists this non-coding RNA (105 nucleotides) under unclassified sequences. RNAcentral's name for it is "cow-rumen-2 RNA". It matches the Rfam family "cow-rumen-2 RNA". Rfam says of the family: cow rumen metagenome. The record is from Rfam by way of RNAcentral.